Molecule: ribosomal RNA, 465 nt
Filed under: uncultured bacterium
Lineage: Bacteria
Description: bacterial SSU rRNA
Rfam family: Bacterial small subunit ribosomal RNA
Source: RNAcentral
CCUACGGGUGGCACCAGUAGGGAAUCUUCGGCAAUGGACGAAAGUCUGACCGAGCAACGCCGCGUGAGUGAAGAAGGUUUUCGGAUCGUAAAACUCUGUUGUUAGAGAAGAACAAGGACGUUAGUAACCGAACGUCCCCUGACGGCAUCUAACCAGAAAGCCACGGCUAACUACGUGCCAGCAGCCGCGGUAAUACGUAGGUGGCAAGCGUUGUCCGGAUUUAUUGGGCGUAAAGCGAGCGCAGGUGGUUUCUUAAGUCUGAUGUGAAAGCCCCCGGCUCAACCGGGGAGGGUCAUUGGAAACUGGGAGACUUGAGUGCAGAAGAGGAGAGUGGAAUUCCAUGUGUAGCGGUGAAAUGCGUAGAUAUAUGGAGGAACACCAGUGGCGAAGGCGGCUCUCUGGUCUGUAACUGACGCUAAGGCUCGAAAGCGUGGGGAGCAAACAGGAUUAGAUACCCCGGUAGUC